Molecule: long non-coding RNA, 936 nt
Filed under: Homo sapiens (human)
Lineage: Eukaryota; Metazoa; Chordata; Mammalia; Primates; Hominidae
Description: HSALNT0302546
Source: RNAcentral
GGAAUACAGAUCUUUAUAACAUCCAUGAAUGCAUCCACUUGCAAGCCUCCCACCCCACCUCUCCCUUGUCCCUACACGCAAGCCUUUAUCUCCCACUCCAAAAAGUCAGGUGCUUCCAACAGGUGUGGGGACCUGGCUGUUUGUAGUUUUGUCAGUUUGGGUGUAAGGAGGGAGACAGUAAGCCAAUAUUGUCUUAGGUGUAGUCUUAUUGUUCAGCUACCUUGACAUAGCCUAGGAAGCUUCUUGCUCUUGCUGAUUUGUUCUUCAGGGGCAUUUUAUUGUUUAAUAAUGACCUUGGCUGCUUCUCAACAGCCUCCAUAAAGAUAAUAAUCUUGGAUCUGGGUGGGAAGGGCUGGAAACUUAUAGAUGUUCUGCUGGGGUGGCAGAUAGCAGAGGAUCCACUUUCAGGACUAGGUGGAAGUAGGGGAAAAUAAACUAUAACCCUAUUCUAUACAACAUUUGAAAGACAAAUCCUUUCACCUACUGAAGGUGUGGAGAAACUAGGACACUCACAUGUGGUUGGUGAGAAGGUAAUUAUACCGCAUGGGAACAGAUGGCAACAGAGAGGAUCAAGCAAAGCACUGUGGGACCAACUGACCAGAGGUACCCCAUGCACCAAACCACAGAGCAGCAUGUCUGCAGCUACAGAAGAAUGAAGUGCCUGUUGUCUCGCAAAGUUCUUCAGUAGGAUUUGGAGGCAAGUAGAGCCAUUAAUUAAUAAAAAGCAUAGCUUGUGGUAAUUAGCAGCAGCAACAAAAAUGUUUAGCGGAGCUUCCUCUUUUUAUCUUGAGGCAGUUCCUACAGACAGAUGCUUAGGAUUAAUGAAGUUUAAUGAGACCUGCAGCAGCUGGCUAAUUAGUCAGUGAGGAGGAAGUAGUAAUGACAAGAGAAAAAGGCUUUUACUCUUGUUUAUUAGCUCAGGUUUGGGACAGUUUU